UGUAACCCCCAUCCACCAAAGGCAUCACCUCCACAUGGUCCCCACUCGCCACCACAAACCCCUACUUCAUCACCACCCCAGUAUACCCAUCCACCAAAGGCAUCGCCUCCGCGUGGUCCUCACGUGCCACCACAAACACCCACUUCAUCGCCGCCUUCUUACCUGCACCCACCAAAGGCAUCACCUCCUGGUGGUCCCAACGAGCCACCUUACCCACAUCCGCCCAAGGCAUCUCCUCCGGGUGGUCCCAGCGCGCCACCUUACCCACAUCCGCCCAAGGAAUCACCUCCGGGUGGUCCCAACACGCCACCGCAGACCCCUUCUUCAUCGCCACCUUCUUACCCGUACCCACCAAAGGCAUCGCCACCGGAUGGUCAGACCUCAUCACCGCCUUCUUACCCAUAUCCGCCAACCGCAUUGCCACCCAAUUGGCCGGAAAUUCCGCCUACCACCGCCGUACCUCCUCUGCCACUUCCACCUUCAUUUAAUUCCGUUCCACCGUUAUCCGACAUUUUGGUUCCACCGCCGUCAGGAGGCGGCAACAACCACACCACUAUCAUAGUGGUAUGCGCCUCACUAGGCGGCGCAUUCUUCCUUGCAUUUCUUGCAUUGGGUCUCUUUUGCUUGGCCAAGAAAAAGAAGAAGGCUGUUUUAAUUCCGGCAGCCGCUGCGUAUGGCCAAGAAAGUAGUCAUUAUGGAGGAGAAAGUGCAAGCGGCAGCGCUGCAAGCCAUUACCAAUAAUGGCUAAGGGCCUAGGGUUUACCAUAUCUGGUAUAUACCUAAACCCUAAAGAAAGUUGACUGAGUGUGGACAUGUUUAUGUGUACAUUGUUUGUUUGGAAAAAAUAAUAAUAAUAAUCAACAAGGGCUAAAAUUCAUCAGAAUGCUGGCACAUAUUUGUAUGGAAUAUAUAUCUAGUAUUUCUGCUUAAACUUGAAGAUCGAAGAUGGGAUCGAUCAGUUUAAAAAGGACAGUUUGUUUCGUGAUCGAAAAAGAAAUUACAUUUUAUAUAAUAGAGCGUUGCAAUUAUUUUAAUAUAUAUUUAGUAUAUAGUAAAUAUCAUCUAAAAUGUAAUUUUCUAUUCUACAAAAUGCAAUUUAUUUUUUUUAAAGUGUCUAAGUGAACUACUAUGUUAAACUGUUUGGAAUCAUGAUUCAAGAAGACAAAAGGAAAAAGGCUAGAAGGAAUUAGGAAACUACCGUUUAUUUUGUUCUGUUUUUUGUACUUUUUAAUUAUGGAUCCGGUUAGCAUGAAGUUUAUUUUUUAAUAAAUUGGUCAAUUGACCAAUAGAAUAUUGAUACACAUAGAAUCUCGUCUACGUUCAGCACUCUAUUGACCAAUUAACCAACUUAUUCAAAAAUAAAUUUUAUGCUAACUACUCCCUUUAAUUAUGUAUGUAAUGAUUGAUGGAGA
This 1412-nucleotide long non-coding RNA is filed under the name Panax ginseng (ginseng). Its description in RNAcentral is "long non-coding RNA (PGIN_LNC001292)". Lineage: Eukaryota; Viridiplantae; Streptophyta; Magnoliopsida; Apiales; Araliaceae. The record is from RNAcentral.